Molecule: non-coding RNA, 3302 nt
Organism: Anas platyrhynchos (mallard)
Lineage: Eukaryota; Metazoa; Chordata; Aves; Anseriformes; Anatidae
Source: RefSeq, a predicted model, not a curated record
CAAAAUGCAAAUGCAUGAGCAUGGGAGUUAGUGUCAUUUCCCCAUCCUUGGAAGCAUCGGUAGCAGCCAGCGGGAGCAGCAGAGUGGACCAGCCCGGAUCCAAGGGAAGCAGUGGCUGAGUGGGACAGCACCAGCCUGUGCUGUGACUUCGCUAGCUCUUCACAGGAGACUGGCUAAUGUAAAGAGCAUAAUUUUGAAACUGAAAAAGCAGACCAGCUCCCGUUGGAGAAUCCUUGCCCUAAGCUACAGGAGACCUUAAGAUGUGGCAAAUUGGUGGUGCUUCAGCAUGCCCCAAUUCAGGGUGCUUUUUACCCAGAUGAGUUUAUUGCUCCAUCUUGGCUAGGCAAGGACAUCAGAAAGGGCGAUUGGAAGGAGACAGCGGUCAGGUCAGAGAGAGCCUCAGGACGGCAGCAACUGUGAGCUGAGCAACCCAAGGGGACUUUCUUCUGCAUCUGUGGUUCAUCUCUGCCUGUGCUGGUGAAGACCAAGAACAAAACAAAGACAGUACCUGAAAUGUGAAACUUUCUGGUAUCUUGGAAGAAAUGAGUUUCUUUGUUGAAAACUGUGCAGCACAGUUGCAUGUGUGAGUGCAUAUUACAUGUAUAAUACUAAUAACAAAACAUCGAGAGAAAGCUGCUUAAUCCCCCUUCUGCUCCCAUGAGACUCUUCUGGGGGAACAUCCAGUUUUGGAAUAUGUGGAACUAAAUGCAGAAUGGAUAUGUAUAUCCACGGAGGCUGAGCUCAGCCCAGAAUCCCCUGGAUUAAAGGCUGGAUGUAAUUUUCAUUGUUCAUGCUUUGCACAACUGUCUACUGUAUUUCAAAUCCCAUGUUAUCCACUUGCAGUUCAUGAGUGAAAGAUACGACUGGAUGUGUCUGGACAGAUGCUACACUGUACAGUGCUCCGCUGAGAAAAUGGCUUUGCUGCUUGAGGCUUGGGUCAUAGGAUCCUAUUUUCAGCAAGCACUAAAAAAUUAUUUACAUGUAGGAAUGUCACAGAACCUCUUUUUAUGAUCUCAGCAUGUGACUGAAUGAGUUACAAAUAGCAAUUCUCAAUGUCAUGGAAGUUACUGAAGCCAGUGAGACAUCUUUACUUGAAGGAAAACGAUGUAAGUAAAGGUGUGCUGAAUCACGGCUCUGGGAAUUAGCCUGGUAAAACAGAGAAGGUCCCUCCAGGCACACAGUGCUUUGUGCUAUUGUAUAAAUUUUUUUCUAAAACAUGACUGUGUCAAAUAUGCCUAAAAAAAAAAGUAAUUGGAAAAUCCUGGUUAGGCACUUUGUGUGUCAUCUGCCAAUGCAGGGCUGUGCAGGCAGACAUGGAAUUCCGAAGCCAUAGGAAUUGAGGUGCACAAGACAAAUCUUAUUUUAAAAAUCAACUUUCUAUUUCCAAACUCAUCUCCAGUCUUCUGAUUUUAUUUUAUUUUUUAAUUUAUAUCUGAAAGCAUUUGCUCUCCUUGGUGUUUUCUUUGGUAUUUCAAAAGCAUCCAGCUGGAAUUCGCAACUACCUUUAUCUAAGACCCUCAUUGCAGUCUGGUUGGGCAUGUCCUUUAGUUAAACAAAUAAACCCUGCAAUGUUUGGGAAUGAAGGAACAUCAGAUGUCAGAGGCAGCUUCAUGUUCUGGAGAAACUUUUUUUGAGGUGUUUAAAAACCGUGUCCUGCCAGUGGGAGGAUGUCAGCAGAGUUCCUGAUGAGUGCAGGUGCCUGUGACUCCUCUGUGGUUAGGAAAUUAAGAAACACAGCAAAGCCAAACCAUUUUCUGCCUUAGCAACUCAUCCCAAGUGCAAGAAGUAGAGAUUUCCUUCAGGUUACACAGUUACUUACUCUCCAGUCAACCAAUUAGUGCCAGACAAGGCAGUGACAUCUGGAUUUGGUUAGUAGAGCAUUAGCCGUUCAUUGGGAUGUUUUGACUGGACUCUUCAAUGGGAUUUAUUGUACUUUAUAGUUGUUUAUUUUCCAAUCAGAGUCAGCCUUUAAUUCAAGAUUGCUGCUUCAGCCCCUUCUGAGUGAAAAGAAACACAAAGAAAGAGUCUCCUCUGACUCUUAGGUAGAGAGGGUUUCUCAGCAAUUAUACACAGGCUUAAAACACCAGAGGGCAGACAAAGUAAACAGGGUGCUUACUGCCCACUGAUCAGCAGAGCUGAGGUGGCAAGAGGAUGAGGCAUGGUGGCAACCGAGCAGGUAUGUCUGAAAAUACAUCUGGCACUUCUUGCUUUAAAAAUAAAGGUUAUUCAUCUGAAGCGGGAAGAAAAUACAAAAAGUGGUUUCUGCAUUUAGGCUUGGCUACAGAAUAGCUCCAGCAGAAGCAAGAACAGCGUGCUCACACCUCUGUGACCCUCAGACCCCACACCUCCAAGAGCCAAAAUUCAGCAUCUGUAAACCUCCCUCUCACCUGCAGAGGUGGCUUCCAGGGAAGCGUACUUUGUCAGUGAGAUGAUGUUUUUGUCGUGGGUUCUCUCUUUGGGGUUGGAAUGAAUUCUAAAAGGCAUUUUGCUUGUUCAGACCAGGGAGCUUCCAUCACUUGCAGUGGUGAUGAACACAGGCCGCAUUCACUUGACCUGAUGGUGGCAUCUGGCUCCAUUUGAUCGGCUGGGUGAGCACCCUCGCUCUCCUGUGUGUAAGGUGGCCGGCAGGCGCCCACCCAGCCAGCCUGCAGGAGGCCUAGGCGCAGGAGGCUUUAUUUCCCUGAAUGGAAAUCAGUUUCUCGGAGGCACACCUGGUAUUCCUCAAAAUCCCAGCACUACCUCAUUGCCUCACCAUAAAAUAGCUAAGUGCAACCGAGGAGCAAUUGCACGGUGUCCUCCAGCCUACACAAACAGCCGUAACUCUGGGGCUCUCCAAGAAGAUGUUGGCACACUGGUGAGGUGUCCCGUGCUGCUGAUGGAUGGAGCAGCAGGUCCUCAGUGAAGCCCCCACCCAUGCACCAUGGCCAGCCGGCAGACCUCCGCCAAUGCUUCCCCUCGUUCAGCAAGCCCCAGGAGCUGCACAAGUCUCAUUCAGCACAGUUUGGCAGACCUUCAGACUUACCUCCAGCCAAAAACCAUGCAGCUGCAGACUCACCAUGGCUACCUAGAAUCCACCAGGAUAACAGCACUCUCGACUUGUUUAUUGCCCAGCUCUACUUGUUCUAUUUUUUAUUUUUUAAUAUUUUCUGGACCAAAGUCCAGCAAAAGUGCAUGUGUCUAUGCUGACCACAUUUCAGUUCCUAAUUCUAAUUGGACAGAAAACUGGGAUUGUUUUUAUCCCCUCUUCCCUCCUUCCUUCCUUCCUUCCUUCCUUCCUUCCUUCCUUCCUUCCUUCCUUCCUU